This 482-nucleotide ribosomal RNA is filed under the name uncultured bacterium. RNAcentral describes it as "partial 16S ribosomal RNA". It matches the Rfam family "Bacterial small subunit ribosomal RNA", at positions 28 to 507 of the family's 1533-position model. The record is from RNAcentral.
GAUGAACGCUAGCGGCAGGCCUAAUACAUGCAAGUCGGACGGGAUUCAGGAGCUUGCUUCUGAUGAGAGUGGCGCACGGGUGCGUAACACGUAUGUAACCUGCCUUUAUCAGGGGGAUAGCCUCUCGAAAGAGAGAUUAAGCCCGCAUAAAAUCACAGCACAGCAUUGUGUAAUGAUCAAAUAUUUAUAGGAUAAAGAUGGGCAUGCGGAACAUUAGCUAGAUGGCGGGGUAACGGCCCACCAUGGCGACGAUGUUUAGGGGAUCUGAGAGGAUGGCCCCCCACACUGGUACUGAGACACGGACCAGACUCCUACGGGAGGCAGCAGUAAGGAAUAUUGGUCAAUGGGCGGAAGCCUGAACCAGCCAUGCCGCGUGCAGGAAGACGGCCCUACGGGUUGUAAACUGCUUUUAUACGGGAAUAAACCCAGAUACGUGUAUCUGGCUGAAUGUACUGUAAGAAUAAGGAUCGGCUAACUCCGUG